Molecule: unclassified non-coding RNA, 374 nt
Filed under: Hevea brasiliensis (rubber tree)
Lineage: Eukaryota; Viridiplantae; Streptophyta; Magnoliopsida; Malpighiales; Euphorbiaceae
Source: RNAcentral
CUAUGAUUGGUUUUAUAUACCUAGUUUGUUCUGAUUUAGCAUUCCUAAUUAGUUACAAUUAGGAUUAGUUGAUAAAUUAUGAAUACCUUAUACCUGUGUCUAGGUAUUUUAUUAAGAGAAUUUACUAUGAUCAUAUUUUUAUUAACAAUUAAUAAGAUAUGAGAAAUUGUUUUCCCUUUUUAUUUGAGAAUUUGUUUCUCUAGAGAAUGUAUUUCUCUACCCUUUGAGAAUGCAUUUCUCACCCCCCUAAUUCCCCAUAAAUCUACUAGUUCUACAUUAAUUUGGUAUCAGAGCCUGCUCUACAUCAAAAUCAGUUUCAGGAUUUUUCUAGUGAAAACUCUCAAGUACCCUAGCAUUCCUAAAUAGAAAAUUUA